Molecule: non-coding RNA, 2018 nt
Organism: Dermacentor albipictus
Lineage: Eukaryota; Metazoa; Arthropoda; Arachnida; Ixodida; Ixodidae
Source: RefSeq, a predicted model, not a curated record
UCUUUUUCACAUUGCAGCAAUAUUGUCAAAUGAUGAAUAAAUGUUGAACCACCUACGAUGACAUUGCUAUAACAUUCAUGCUAUAGGCUAUAAUUGUCUGCCCUCUCGGGCUAUUUCUGAAGCCCAAAUAGAAAAGCCGGUACCAGCUAGAUCACUUCUCCUCACCAUUACUACAUUAAUUUUUUUUAUUUUUUGCUUCGAGCGCAAGCUUGCAUGUGGUGUGCAUACAGCUGGCGAGCAGUGCAAGUGUACUUAACUAUGUCACACUGAUGUAAAAAUAUAUACCUGUAUCGAAAAUAUUUCUAAACAGCUGAAAUAUCUGUUUUUUUAUUAAGCAGGCGGUCUAAAUAAAAACUGCCGAAAAAAUUGAGUUCUGGUUUCACUGACGCUCCGCAGUCUAAUGGCCAUGGAGAUCAUCACAAAUCCAAAUCGCGGUACAGCCGAGAGCCCAUUUCCUUCUUCCAUGCCUUCUUCCAUGCGACAGCCAGCCCUGCGACGCGCGCUCAUCUAAAAACGUGCCACUCAGCGGCAGUCGUGUCAAAGUCCGCGUUUUUUGUUGUUCUAGCAUAGUUUUUUUUGCAGUCGCCGUGCCUGUGCUUUUUUUCUUGUAGCUUCUCUGCAAUUCAACUGAAAUGGCGCAGGCUUGCUCCGAGGAUGACCUCAGUGGGGGGAAGACAUACAGCAUCGUUCUUUUUGAAGAUGAAGAUGAAGUUUCCGUCGUGCCCACUUCGUGGAUUUCAGAAAACACAGUUAGGUGGCCACCAUUUAAGAGCACCGCAAAGAUAACUACUGCCAUCAAAGAGCAACAACCACCAUCAAGCGACUGGACUAGCUACAGAUGUCGAGUGUUGUGGACAUGUGGCAGCUAUGAAAGUGCUAGACAAAAAGAGCAGCAAGCAGAAUUCACAUCAGAUUUGGCCUCAGAUGUUGAAACAAUUCAGCAAAGGCGGAAGAGGCGGCCACCAGCGCGCCUGGAGUCUUCAGAUGAAGAGAGCAUCGACUUUCCUGUUCCUCUACGAGGACAGUGCUUUAAUUCUUCGCAACAAACUGCGAAGUUUGUUUCACGACCACCACCGCCAAAAAUUGUGAAAUUGUCACGGUUCAAGCCCCAGUCACUUGCUUCACAGGAUCCCCAGAUACAAAAGGCCCCACCUAGCCGGGAAGUGGCUUUAGAUGAUGGCGAUUCUUUUGCUGAAAAAAGGAAGCUUGACCAAAAUGCCAUGCUUGGAAAGUUGCUCAAGGAGGUGAAGGGAAUAAGAGCUCAGGUAGAUGGCCUGGAAAAAUCCAUCCAAAGGAUAGAGCAAGCCAUCACAGAAAAUAAACAACCGUGUGCACAACCUGUCAGCAGUGCCAUUCUUGAACUGCUUCCCCUGGCAACUCAUCAGAGGCUGGAAGAAUUGGAGUGGCAGCUUCAUGAUGAAAAAAACAGGACAGACCUCAAACGCUGAAAAGCAAUUUCGCACAGGCCACGGAGUCACAAAUACAUCUUUCGAUUGCCGAAUGGCUCCGUUAUGCACCAUCAAGACAGAAGAAACGGGAUGCAGCUUCGCCUUUGAUGUCAUGAAUCAGACCAUCAUCAUGAGCAGCUGGAGGCCACCAGGGGACAAGGGGACAAGAAGUUUCUAGAUGUGCUGAAUUUUUGAGGCAAAUGUUGACAGUACUUUAAAUUUGUAGUUUUCCAGUGCAACGGCACAUGGCCAAACAAGGGAUGAAGGAGACUUGGAAGAAAACAGUGCAGCAACAGGGACAAGACAGAAGACUGUACAGGUGCUGACUAGCAACUGAAGGUUUAUUGAAAAGGAAAACAUAAAAUAUACUCCCUUUACAACCUAGAGCACGCAUGGUCUACACCAACAACUCUGAUAAGCUGUCAGCUUCAGUUUUGGUGGUCAGCUACAACAGUUCGCAGUGAUGAACGAGGACGGAUGGGGUCCGCAACACAUGCAACACAUGCUAUUCUUGUUGUGUAAAUAGUUUACUGAAGUGUUUGAUAUUUGUAACAUGCAAGUUCAGAGGUG